UGGGCAACCUGCCCCUCUCUCUGGGAUAACCCCGGGAAACCGGAGCUAAUACCGGAUACUCCGGCUGGAUCGCAUGGUCCGGCCGGGAAAGGUCCGCCGGAGAGGGAUGGGCCCGCGGCCUAUCAGCUUGUUGGUGAGGUCAAGGCUCACCAAGGCUCCGACGGGUAGCUGGUCUGAGAGGACGACCAGCCACACUGGGACUGAGACACGGCCCAGACUCCUACGGGAGGCA
This 232-nucleotide ribosomal RNA is filed under the name uncultured bacterium. Its description in RNAcentral is "partial 16S ribosomal RNA". It matches the Rfam family "Bacterial small subunit ribosomal RNA", at positions 118 to 350 of the family's 1533-position model. The record is from RNAcentral.